This 595-nucleotide ribosomal RNA is filed under the name Candidatus Saccharimonadota bacterium. RNAcentral's name for it is "partial 23S ribosomal RNA". It matches the Rfam family "Bacterial large subunit ribosomal RNA", at positions 2338 to 2925 of the family's 2925-position model. Lineage: Bacteria; Candidatus Saccharimonadota. The record is from RNAcentral.
UCGUAGUGAUAGUGUAUGCGCAAAAGCCAGCUUGACUGUGAGGGCUACAACCCAAUCAGACACGAAAGUGGGAGCAAAUGACCCGCUGUAUAGAACUUCGGUUCAAUUUACGUGGGAAAGACAGCGCACACGGAUAAAAGUUACCCUGGGGAUAACAGGCUGAUCGCGCCCAAUAGUUCACAUAGACGGCGCGGUUUGGCACCUCGAUGUCGGCUCAUCACAUCCUGGAGGGGGAGCACCUUCCAAGGGUCCGGCUGUUCGCCGGUUAAAGUGGUACGCGAGCUGGGUGCAGAACGUCGUGAGACAGUUCGGUGUAUAUCCGGCAUGAUCGGUAGGAAUUUUGAGGAGAUCUGCCCCUAGUACGAGAGGACCAGGGUGGACGAACCUCUAGUGUACGGGUUGUGGUCACCUACUGCAUUGCCCGGUAGCUAUGUUCGGAAGAGAUAAGCGCUGAAAGCAUAUUAAGCGCGAAGCCCACUCCAAGAUAAGAAUUCCCUAGGAGACUCCAGAAAGAAGAUCUGGUUGAUAGGUGCAAGGUGGAAGCAUGGUAACAUGUGGAGCCGAAGCAUACUAAUAGGUCCAUCGCCUUUUUAUG